This 498-nucleotide ribosomal RNA is filed under the name uncultured bacterium. Its description in RNAcentral is "partial 16S ribosomal RNA". It matches the Rfam family "Bacterial small subunit ribosomal RNA", at positions 28 to 508 of the family's 1533-position model. The record is from RNAcentral.
GAUGAACGCUGGCGGCGUGCCUAAUACAUGCAAGUCGAGCGAACAGACGAGGAGCUUGCUCCUCUGACGUUAGCGGCGGACGGGUGAGUAACACGUGGAUAACCUACCUAUAAGACUGGGAUAACUUCGGGAAACCGGAGCUAAUACCGGAUAAUAUAUUGAACCGCAUGGUUCAAUAGUGAAAGACGGUUUUGCUGUCACUUAUAGAUGGAUCCGCGCCGCAUUAGCUGGUUGGUAAGGUAACGGCUUACCAAGGCAACGAUGCGUAGCCGACCUGAGAGGGUGAUCGGCCACACUGGAACUGAGACACGGUCCAGACUCCUACGGGAGGCAGCAGUAGGGAAUCUUCCGCAAUGGGCGAAAGCCUGACGGAGCAACGCCGCGUGAGUGAUGAAGGUCUUCGGAUCGUAAAACUCUGUUAUUAGGGAAGAACAAAUGUGUAAGUAACUAGGCACGUCUUGACGGUACCUAAUCAGAAAGCCACGGCUAACUACGUGC